Long non-coding RNA from Dalotia coriaria, 1120 nucleotides. RefSeq lists it as uncharacterized. The record is from RefSeq and is a predicted model, not a curated record. The transcript is spliced from 2 exons. NCBI's taxonomy places the organism in Eukaryota, Metazoa, Arthropoda, Insecta, Coleoptera, Staphylinidae.
AUUCAUAUACUUAAUGAUUGUUUAGUUUACUGUCAGAGUUGUUACAAAUUAAAUUUUUGGGAAUGAGUGCUAAUUUUCAACGCGUUUGUUUAAAGUCGAUAUUUAUGUAGUAAGAUGAAUCCAAAAAGGACGCCGUAUUUGUUUGGGCCUGUUAUGGCCGCCAUUUUUCGUCUUGAAGACCAAGGUUUUCGUUUAAGUGAUAUUAGAGUUCUGCGCGAGGUAAGCCGUGGACUGAAGAAACAGUGCAAACGCGAACCGCCGAAUCUUAAAAUGCGCGUUGCUCAAGCGCUUAAUUAUGGUAUAAAAGGUGGGGUAUUGCUUAAGACGUCAGGGCGUAUGCGUAUGACGGUUGGACCGAAAGCACUUAAGCGAUUAGAAUUAAAUAGACCUCAAGUAGUUCCUUCGCGUCGGAAGAAAAAACUACCAAGAAGAAGCAAUGCAAAUCGGUUAAAUCUAAACGAGAAAAACCGAAAAACGUGAAAAAAUCAUGGAAAUCAUAUUUUUCAUUUGCCACCAAGAAAAUUACUGGAGAUCCAAAUAAAAAAAAGUGUGCGUGUAAAAGAAAAAAUACAGAAAAAGCAGAAAAAGAAGAAAAGAAAGAUACAAAACAGUCACAGACAAAACAAGAUUCAAAAACAGAUGUUAAAAAUAAAGAUACAUGCAAGCAAGAUGAUCAUAAGCAAUCUGAUCAUGAAAAAUCUAAAUCUCAACUUGAAAAACCCACUGAUGAAGUGGUAUUACCACCACAGCGUUCAAGAAGUCGCCGCCAUUUGAGUAGGAAGAAGAGUAGCGCUGUCAAAACUGGCGUGCUUAGUGGACGAGUGUCAAAAACAGUACAUCCACGUAAAAGUAAAAGUACACAUCGUAAUCAAAACACAUCAUCAACCAUAGAAGUCGGAGACGAAGAAUCUCCCGAUGAUAAAACUGUUGUAUUGGAUAAUUUCCAUAACGGGAACCACCAAGAUCCUCCCGUGGUUAAAAACACUGAUAACACUGAUAAUCGACGUAGCAAACGCGAAACGAAGGGCAAAUCAAAAACACGAAAUUACAUAAAUUGAAAUUAUUAAAAAAUUAUAUUCAAAUGUAUAAAUUUCAUGUUUAAAUAAUAUGUUUCCAAAUA